Molecule: ribosomal RNA, 576 nt
Filed under: uncultured bacterium
Lineage: Bacteria
Description: bacterial SSU rRNA
Rfam family: Bacterial small subunit ribosomal RNA
Source: RNAcentral
CGACGAUGCGUAGGGGUUCUGAGAGGAAGGUCCCCCACACUGGUACUGAGACACGGACCAGACUCCUACGGGAGGCAGCAGUGAGGAAUAUUGGUCAAUGGCCGGGAGGCUGAACCAGCCAAGUCGCGUGAGGGAAGACGGCCCUACGGGUUGUAAACCUCUUUUGUCAGGGAGCAAGAGGCGGGUCGAGACCUGCUGUGAGAGUACCUGAAGAAAAAGCAUCGGCUAACUCCGUGCCAGCAGCCGCGGUAAUACGGAGGAUGCGAGCGUUAUCCGGAUUUAUUGGGUUUAAAGGGUGCGCAGGCGGAGGCACAAGUCAGCGGUAAAAUCGCGGGGCUCAACCCCGCUCCGCCGUUGAAACUGUGUCCCUUGAGUGCGCGAAGGGUAGGCGGAAUGCGUGGUGUAGCGGUGAAAUGCAUAGAUAUCACGCAGAACUCCGAUCGCGAAGGCAGCCUACCGGCGCGCAACUGACGCUCAUGCACGAAAGCGUGGGUAUCGAACAGGAUUAGAUACCCUGGUAGUCCACGCAGUAAACGAUGAAUGCUAUCUGUCCGGCCGGAAUGACGGCUGGGUGGC